GUGAGUAGUUUGAGUGUUUUUUUUUUUUUUUUUAAAUAAAGAAUAAAAAGAAGCCAGGUGUGGUGGCUUACACCUGUAUUCCCAACACUUUGGGAGGCUGAGGCGAGCAGAUCACUUGAGGUCAGGAGUUUGAGACCAGCCUGGCCAACAUGGUGAAACCCCGUCUCUACUAAAAAUACAAAAAAUUAGCUGAGCAUGGUGGGUGGUGCCUGUAAUCCCAACUACUGGGGAGGCCGAGGCAGGAGAAUCACUUCAACUCAGAAGGUAGAGGUUGCAGUGAGCCAAGAUCGCACCACUGUACUCCAGCCUGGGUGACAGAGCAAGACCCUGUCUCAAAAAGAAAAAAAAAAUUUGUUUCAUUUGUUUUGUUAGCCAUUUUUUUUAACCACGGGAGUGGGAAGAAGAAAACAAAAGGCACUUUGAUUAUUAAAAAUUUCUAUUUUGUCUGGGCACAGUGGCUCAGGCCUAUAAUCCCAGCACUUUGGGAGGCUGAAGCAGGAAGAUCACUUGAAGCCAGGAGUUUGAGAUCAGCCUAGGCAACAUAGUGAGACCCCAUCUCUACAAAAUAAACAAAAAUUAAAAUUAGCCAAGCAUAGUGGCAUGUGUCUGUAGUCCCAGCUACUCUGGAGGCUGAGGUAGGAGCAUUGCUUAAGCCUGGGAGAUAGAGGCUGCUGUGAGUCAUGAUCGCACCACUGCACUCCAGCCUGUGUGACAGAGCAAAACCCUGUCUCAAAAAAAAAAAAAAAAAAAAAGUAUCUCAUUUUGUUCUUAAGGACCCCACACAAGCAAAACUCAGAGAUGGAACAUUUAUCAAUGAGUUUUCAUGGCCCAAAUAAGAGAAAGAGAAGAGAAAGAAGGGGCCAUGUCCCAGGAGCCCUUGCAACUGUCAUCAUUAGCUCUGUCCUUGUUUGUGUUUUUAUUGCCUGUCUUCCCCCUGUAAAAGAAGCCAUAGGACAGAAGAGGCCUUGGCCCUUUUGUUUACUGCUCUGCCUCCCAGGCCCACAACAUUGCCUUGCCAAUAGUAAGGAUGCAAUAAACAUUUGUAGAGUAAAAAUGAUUUUGAACUCAGUUUUGAAUCAAAGUUCUAGGACAUACUAUUUACCUGCUGUCUGAAUCUGCUAGGGUUGCCAUAAUAAAGUACCACAAACUGAGUUGCUUCAAUAACAGAAAUGUAUUCUCUCGAAGUUCUGGAGGCCAGAAGUCUUCACAUGGUGGCCACUGGUCUCAGAGGCUGUUUUCCUUUUAACCAGCAGCUCAGUGAAGACAGGAGCUGUAUUUUGCUUCUCUCAGUAUCUUUAGUGCCUGGACCCUGGUGGGGCUCAGUGACCUUGGAGGGAGAGGGGACGAGCUUUACGUGCUGAUCAGGAGCACAGGCCUUGGCACCAGGCUGGCCUGCACUGAAAUCCAGCUCUACCAUUUACUAACGUCAUCCAAACCUCUCUGAGCCUCAGUUUUCAAAUAUACAAAAUGGGGACAUUGGUACCACAGACUUCAUCAGAGGUCUGAGAUCAAGAUGUCAGCAGGGUUGGUUCCUUCUGAAGCUGAGAAGGAGAACCUGUUUCUUGCCUCUGCCCUCACUUCUGGGGGUUUGCGGGCAAUCUUUGGCAUUUGUUGCCUUGUAGAAGCAUCACCUCAAUCUCUGCCAUUGUCUUCACAUGAUGUUCUCCCUCUGUGUCUAGGUCCACCUUUCUCCUUUUUUAUAAGGGCACCAGCACAUACAUUUAGGAUUCACUCUAAGGACCUCAUUUUAACUUGAUUACCUCUGAAAAGACACUGUAUCUGAAAAAGGUCACAUGUUAAGAUACUGAGGGUUAGGGCUCCAACGCUUGAAUGUUUAGAGGACAAAGCUCAACCCAUCAUACCUGCUGAUUAGUUUAUUCAUUAGGCUGGGCACAGUGGCUCACACCUAUAAUCCCAGCACUUUGGGAGGCCGAGGUGGGAGGAUCACUUGAGCCUGGGUGGUCGAAGCUGCAGUGAGCUAUGAUCACACCACUGCACUCCAGCCUGGGUGGCAGAGUGAGACCCUGUCUCAAAAAAAAAAAAAAAAGACAUAAACAAUUAUUAAUUAAUUAAAUUUAAAUCUACUCUUAUCACAACAUGUAGCAGGCAUCCCUUAUCUGCUAACUGAUCAAUUAAACACUGGGAGAUUAUAAAGAUGAUCAAAAAAGGUCCCUACCUCCACAGAGCAUAGAGAAGAGAGGCAGAAACAGAACUAGAGGGCUGACUGAGAUCAUCCAAAGAGGACUGGCCCAUAAUAGACCGUGCACAACAGGAGCAAGGCUCCAGCAUGGGCGUAAUUAAUUCUGUGGAUGGGGUCAAGGAGUCUUCACGGAAGAGAUAUGAUAUGGUUUGGCUAUGUCUCCACCCACAUCUCAUCUUGAAUUGUAGCUCCCAUAAUUCCCAUGUGUUGCAGGAGGACCUGGUGGAAGAUAAUUGAAUCAUGGGGCAGUUUCCCCCAUACUGUUCUCAUGAUAGUGAAUAAGUCCACAAGAGUUCUGAUGGUUUUAUAAGGGGAAACCCCUUUCACUUGGCUCUUAUUCUCUCUCUUGUCUGCUGCCGUGUAAGAUGUGCCUUUCGCCUUCCACCAUGAUUGUGAAGCCUCCCCAGCCACGUGGAACUGUGAGUCCAUUAAGCCUCUUUUUUCUUUAUAAAUCACCCAGCCUCGGUAUGUCUUUAUCAGCAGCUUGAAAACAGACUAAUACAAGCUGCCACUUGAGCUGGGCAUUUGCAGGAUAAAGAGGGUGUCCAUGGGUGGAGAAGGGAGAAAGGCCAGUGGACAGUGGGAACAAAGGGGAUAGGCAGGAUGGUGCCGGGCCUUGUAAGGGAGCACUGAGCAGUUCAGUGAGGCUGGGAUGUGAUCAACAUGAAGCCAGGAGGCAAGAGAGACACUGUGGAGUCCCACAUGUGUAUUCCCUGCAGGCCAAGGGAAGCCAAGGCAUGUGGUUGUGGGGAGGAGUGAUUUAGUAAGGUCGCUAGUAGUGCAGGGAGCUGGAGUCCAGAAGAUGACUUCCAAAAAGCCCAGGCUAGAGCUGCUGGGGUAGCUGGAGUAGGAAUGGAAAGAGCCAUGAACUCCAGACUUCUCCAGGGGUAAGCCAGGGCAAGUGGUGAGAAAGGAAGAGGUACAAGGAAUGGACAAGAGGCUGAGUUAGGUGGUGAAUGUGUUGAGUUGAGGCGUCUGGGGUGUCCCAGGUGGAUAUGGCAAGGCAGGAAGAAUUCAGGCGAGAGAACAGGGCUGGACAUGGAGAUUUGAAAAGACAAAUCUCUAGGACAUUACACAUUAUGGGAGAUGAGGACAUUAUCGGAGACAUUAUAGGAGGACAUUAAGGGAGAUGAGGCCACCUGGGGAGAAUGGCGAGCGCUUAGGAAAGGGCUGAGGACAGGGCCCGGGGCCUCAGAGAUAGUGAGCCUCAAUGGUGGCUACACAUGGCUUCAUCUGGAGAGCUCUGAAGUCAUACAGUGAACCAAGGACCAUUCCUGGGGAAUCUGAUUUGUCUGGGAUGGGAAGAAAGAACCAGCAUUGGAAUUUUUAAAAUCAGCAGUUCUCAUAGUUAGCUGCACAUUGGAAUUACCUGGAGAGCCUCAAAAACUUCUGCUGCCUGAUGCCACACCCCGAGAUCCUGAUCUAACUGCUCUGAGGUGAGAAACUGGUGCUCUCAGAGAGCGUAUGAGUGGCCCAAUGUCACACUACCUCUGGGUGUGUGCAUGUGGAGCCAGGAUUUGAUCCUGGGCAGAUCAAACCCCAAGUGCCACCAGGUGCAGUCGAUCACAUGCUGACCCCCCACUUUACUGAUGAGAAAACUGAGACCUAGAGAGGUUGAGUAACCUGUCCAAGACACCUGGAUGAUAAGCCGGACCCAGCCAACAAGCCCAGCCAGCUUGAUGCCAGAAUCCUCUUACCUGACCUCUGUGCCUGCCAUCCCAGCUGCUAGAGUGGAGAGCCGGCCUUUCCUCGCUGCAGGAUGGACCCUAGGCCUCUCUCUGGGUUUCCAGAUCCUGCUCUGAAGAGCCGGCCUUUCCUCGCUGCAGGAUGGACCCUAGGCGUCUCUCUGGGUUUCCAGAUCCUGCUCUGGAGAGCCGGCCUUUCCUCGCUGCAGGAUGGACCCUAGGCGUCUCUCUGGGUUUCCAGAUCCUGCUCUGGAGAGCCGGCCUUUCCUCGCUGCAGGAUGGACCCUAGGCGUCUCUCUGGGUUUCCAGAUCCUGCUCUGGAGAGCCGGCCUUUCCUCGCUGCAGGAUGGACCCUAGGCCUCUCUCUGGGUUUCCAGAUCCUGCUCUGGAGAGCCGGCCUUUCCUCGCUGCAGGAUGGACCCUAGGCGUCUCUCUGGGUUUCCAGAUCCUGCUCUGAAGAUGAGGAGAUGACAUUUAGCACCAGCCUUCUCUAACUGGCUCUAAGAGGAAUCGGUGUUCCCUGGUGGUUCAGGAGUCAAAAGGGCCAACUGUAGCUUUAUUCCUCUUUCAAAGGAAAUAAAGCAGAGGUCCUAUUUGGGGAUAGGCCCUAUGCCUGAGUUACUUUGGCACUUAAUUGCUAUUAUUUAAUUGCUGUAUUGGGGAGCACAAAGUGAUCUACUGCAAAGUUAUUAGCAAAUUCUAGUUUUAAGGAAAUAAUUACUGAAUUCUCCCUCCCUGGGUUGAGUAAUUCCUUCCAAGAUGCUCAGCGACAUUAAGCAUUUUCACUAGGGCCACUAGCAGCUCUGUAAUAUGCAAAUAAAGUAACUCUGUAAUUACCAAUAAAAUGCUUACUGAAG
This 4742-nucleotide long non-coding RNA is filed under the name Homo sapiens (human). Its description in RNAcentral is "HSALNT0222180". The record is from RNAcentral. Lineage: Eukaryota; Metazoa; Chordata; Mammalia; Primates; Hominidae.